This 253-nucleotide unclassified non-coding RNA is filed under the name Colletotrichum sp. Its description in RNAcentral is "partial contains small subunit ribosomal RNA, internal transcribed spacer 1, and 5.8S ribosomal RNA". The stretch from base 1 to 46 matches the Rfam family "Eukaryotic small subunit ribosomal RNA", at positions 1786 to 1831 of the family's 1831-position model. RNAcentral also lists the same sequence under 1 other name. The record is from RNAcentral. Lineage: Eukaryota; Fungi; Ascomycota; Sordariomycetes; Glomerellales; Glomerellaceae.
AAGUCGUAACAAGGUCUCCGUUGGUGAACCAGCGGAGGGAUCAUUACUGAGUUACCGCUCAUCAACCCUUUGUGAACAUACCUUAACUGUUGCUUCGGCGGGUAGGCGUCCCCUGAAAAGGACGUCUCCCGGCCCUCUCCCGUCCGCGGGUGGGGCGCCCGCCGGAGGAUAACCAAACUCUGAUUUAACGACGUUUCUUCUGAGUGACACAAGCAAAUAAUCAAAACUUUUAACAACGGAUCUCUUGGUUCUG